Molecule: ribosomal RNA, 1344 nt
Filed under: uncultured bacterium
Lineage: Bacteria
Description: 16S ribosomal RNA
Rfam family: Bacterial small subunit ribosomal RNA
Source: RNAcentral
GACGAACGCUGGCGGCGUGCUUAACACAUGCAAGUCGAACGGAAAGGCCCUGCUUUUGUGGGGUGCUCGAGUGGCGAACGGGUGAGUAACACGUGAGUAACCUGCCCUUGACUUUGGGAUAACUUCAGGAAACUGGGGCUAAUACCGGAUAGGAGCUCCUGCUGCAUGGUGGGGGUUGGAAAGUUUCGGCGGUUGGGGAUGGACUCGCGGCUUAUCAGCUUGUUGGUGGGGUAGUGGCUUACCAAGGCUUUGACGGGUAGCCGGCCUGAGAGGGUGACCGGCCACAUUGGGACUGAGAUACGGCCCAGACUCCUACGGGAGGCAGCAGUGGGGAAUAUUGCACAAUGGGCGGAAGCCUGAUGCAGCAACGCCGCGUGCGGGAUGACGGCCUUCGGGUUGUAAACCGCUUUCGCCUGUGACGAAGCGUGAGUGACGGUAAUGGGUAAAGAAGCACCGGCUAACUACGUGCCAGCAGCCGCGGUGAUACGUAGGGUGCGAGCGUUGUCCGGAUUUAUUGGGCGUAAAGGGCUCGUAGGUGGUUUGAUCGCGUCGGAAGUGUAAUCUUGGGGCUUAACCCUGAGCGUGCUUUCGAUACGGGUUGACUUGAGGAAGGUAGGGGAGAAUGGAAUUCCUGGUGGAGCGGUGGAAUGCGCAGAUAUCAGGAGGAACACCAGUGGCGAAGGCGGUUCUCUGGGCCUUUCCUGACGCUGAGGAGCGAAAGCGUGGGGAGCGAACAGGCUUAGAUACCCUGGUAGUCCACGCUGUAAACGGUGGGUACUAGGUGUGGGGUCCAUUCCACGGGUUCCGCGCCGUAGCUAACGCUUUAAGUACCCCGCCUGGGGAGUACGGCCGCAAGGCUAAAACUCAAAGGAAUUGACGGGGCCCCGCACAAGCGGCGGAGCAUGCGGAUUAAUUCGAUGCAACGCGUAGAACCUUACCUGGGUUUGACAUGGAUCGGGAGUGCUCAGAGAUGGGUGUGCCUCUUUUGGGGUCGGUUCACAGGUGGUGCAUGGCUGUCGUCAGCUCGUGUCGUGAGAUGUUGGGUUAAGUCCCGCAACGAGCGCAACCCUUGUUCACUGUUGCCAGCACGUUAUGGUGGGGACUCAGUGGAGACCGCCGGGGUCAACUCGGAGGAAGGUGGGGAUGACGUCAAGUCAUCAUGCCCCUUAUGUCCAGGGCUUCACGCAUGCUACAAUGGCUGGUACAGAGAGUGGCGAGCCUGUGAGGGUGAGCGAAUCUCGGAAAGCCGGUCUCAGUUCGGAUUGGGGUCUGCAACUCGACCUCAUGAAGUCGGAGUCGCUAGUAAUCGCAGAUCAGCAACGCUGCGGUGAAUACGUUCCCGGG